Molecule: ribosomal RNA, 466 nt
Filed under: uncultured bacterium
Lineage: Bacteria
Description: SSU rRNA
Rfam family: Bacterial small subunit ribosomal RNA
Source: RNAcentral
AGGACGAACGCUGGCGGUGUGCUUCACACAUGCAAGUCGAACGGGGUAGCAAUACCCAGUGGCGGACGGGUGAGUAACGCGUGGGAAUCUGCCUAAAAAUGGGGGAUAGCUGGCCGAAAGGCUAAUUAAUACCGCAUAGGCCUAUAUUUCGACAGUUUUAUAGGUUAAAGGAGUAAUCCGUUUUUAGAUGAGCCCGCGUCCGAUUAGCUAGUUGGUAGGGUAAAGGCCUACCAAGGCUACGAUCGGUAGGUGGCCCGAGAGGGCGAUCACCCACAAUGGAACUGAGACACGGUCCAUACUCCUACGGGAGGCAGCAGUGGGGAAUUUUACGCAAUGGGCGAAAGCCUGACGUAGCGACACCGCGUGAACGAAGAAGCCUUUUGGGGUGUAAAGUUCUGUCGGCUGGGAAGAAAAAAUGACGGUACCAGCAAAGGAAGCAUCGGACUAACUACGCGCCAGCAGCCGC